Molecule: ribosomal RNA, 383 nt
Filed under: uncultured Streptococcus sp.
Lineage: Bacteria; Bacillati; Bacillota; Bacilli; Lactobacillales; Streptococcaceae
Description: bacterial SSU rRNA
Rfam family: Bacterial small subunit ribosomal RNA
Source: RNAcentral
UUUCUAGAGAUAGAAAGUUACUUCGGUACAUCGGUGACAGGUGGUGCAUGGUUGUCGUCAGCUCGUGUCGUGAGAUGUUGGGUUAAGUCCCGCAACGAGCGCAACCCCUAUUGUUAGUUGCCAUCAUUCAGUUGGGCACUCUAGCGAGACUGCCGGUAAUAAACCGGAGGAAGGUGGGGAUGACGUCAAAUCAUCAUGCCCCUUAUGACCUGGGCUACACACGUGCUACAAUGGUUGGUACAACGAGUUGCGAGUCGGUGACGGCGAGCUAAUCUCUUAAAGCCAAUCUCAGUUCGGAUUGUAGGCUGCAACUCGCCUACAUGAAGUCGGAAUCGCUAGUAAUCGCGGAUCAGCACGCCGCGGUGAAUACGUUCCCGGGCCUU